GACGAACGCUGGCGGCGUGCUUAACACAUGCAAGUCGAACGGAAAGGCCCUGCUUUUGUGGGGUGCUCGAGUGGCGAACGGGUGAGUAACACGUGAGUAACCUGCCCUUGACUUUGGGAUAACUUCAGGAAACUGGGGCUAAUACCGGAUAGGAGCUCCUGCUGCAUGGUGGGGGUUGGAAAGUUUCGGCGGUUGGGGAUGGACUCGCGGCUUAUCAGCUUGUUGGUGGGGUAGUGGCUUACCAAGGCUUUGACGGGUAGCCGGCCUGAGAGGGUGACCGGCCACAUUAGGACUGAGAUACGGCCCAGACUCCUACGGGAGGCAGCGGUGGGGAAUAUUGCACAAUGGGCGGGAGCCUGAUGCAACAACGCCGCGUGCGGGAUGACGGCCUUCGGGUUGUAAACCGCUUUCGCCUGUGACGAAGCGUGAGUGACGGUAAUGGGUAAGGAAGCACCGGCUAACUACGUG
This 468-nucleotide ribosomal RNA is filed under the name uncultured bacterium. RNAcentral describes it as "partial 16S ribosomal RNA". It matches the Rfam family "Bacterial small subunit ribosomal RNA", at positions 28 to 507 of the family's 1533-position model. The record is from RNAcentral.